Molecule: small nuclear RNA, 104 nt
Organism: Phodopus roborovskii (desert hamster)
Lineage: Eukaryota; Metazoa; Chordata; Mammalia; Rodentia; Cricetidae
Source: RefSeq, a predicted model, not a curated record
AUCCCCACUCUGGCAGCAUUUAUACAAAAAUUGGAACAAUAUGGAGAUUAGCAUGACUCCUACUUGAGAAUGACAGAAAAAUUCAUAAAGCAUUCUAUGUUUUC